GAAUUUGUACUACACUUGUAUCUGCUAGUACUCUCAUAUUCUCCAAUGAUCCGUUGACUCUUACCAAAUAAAUUACUUCCAUAAAAGAAUUUAGUGGUGCCGUUAGCCUAAUGCAACCACUUCAAAUCUUUGAAUAAACAGAUUCAGCUUGUCUUGCAGAUUUCAAAUGGUAUGUUGGAUUAUGAUGAAAAUCAAACAUGGUUGUAUUGAUUGAUAAGAACAAUUCGUAUUCUAUCUAUUUGGAGAAUAUUGGUUUCUUUCUGUAAAAAAAGGAUUACUAUAGGUAUUUGGAAAUGGCGAGCUGGUGGUGAAAUUCAGAUCAAAUGUUGGCUGUCGAUCUAAGAAAUCCACAUGAACUAGAAUUAGGCCGAGCAACCUUAUAGUCAUCCAGCUUAUUGCACCAAGACAAUCACGGUAUGUAAGCUUUUGAUCAACAAUUUAAUUUUGUUCGUUUAUUUUCAUUUACCAAUUUAAACCAAAAUUUACUCGGUUUUUUUUGUUAAUGAACAAAUUUGUUUACGUUCAUUUAAAUUAUUUAAAGUUCAUUUAAAAGCUGAUUUAUUAUUAAAUCAUUAUAUAUUAAUAGAAUUAUUAUCUGGGGGCUUAUUUUAUUUAUUUAUUUAUAGUAUAUUUGAUUUUAUCUAAAAUAUAAUAUAUAUAUUUAAUAUUUGUGAACAUAUUCAUUUAAUGUUCAUGAAAUAUUUGUUUAACUUAAACGAAUAAAUAUGAGAACAAAUAAGCACAAAUACAAAAUUAAAAUUCUUAGUAGGAAGAGGUUUAAAAAUAAGAUUAACAGCUUUAAUCCAAAAUUCAAACUUUCAAUAAAAUUUGAUUCCAAGUUGUUUGUUUGAAAUUAAAUUAAAACUAAAACAAAUAAAAAUUGAAGGAUUUGAAUUGAAGAACAAUAAAAAAGGAUAAAGAAACUAAAUAUAAGUAAAACUGAAAUAAAUGAUAAAAAUGGUAGUUUUAAAAAAACAAAGUUGUAUCUAGUUCUACAUAAAUGAACCAAUCAAUUUCAAGCAUAAUUAAAGAAUUGUAUAAUAUCUCUAAUAAUCAAAUACGAACUUAUCAAAAUCCGUAGUUUAAUAUGUGUGUAGGUCGGAUCAUAUAAGAGCUAAACUCAUCAUCUAAUCCAACAAAUACAUUUAUUUAGAAAGUUGAAGAGUGAGUGAAGAUAAUUUGUAUUAUGGAUCCCUCAAUUCCACCUGUAAGAUCUCUAAGCUACUUGAACAAGCAAAGAACUUUUGCGAACAAAACGAAAACGAAGGUAAAAGGAAG
RNAcentral lists this long non-coding RNA (1278 nucleotides) under Gossypium barbadense (sea-island cotton). Its description in RNAcentral is "long non-coding RNA (GBAR_LNC020582)". The record is from RNAcentral. Lineage: Eukaryota; Viridiplantae; Streptophyta; Magnoliopsida; Malvales; Malvaceae.